UACGGAGGGUGCAAGCGUUAAUCGGAAUUACUGGGCGUAAAGCGCACGCAGGUGGCUGAGUCAGUCGCUUGUGAAAGCCCUGGGCUUAACCUGGGAAUUGCAGUCGAUACUACUCAGCUAGAGUAUGGGAGAGGGUAGUGGAAUUCCCGGUGUAGCAGUGAAAUGCGUAGAUAUCGGGAGGAACAUCAGUGGCGAAGGCGGCUACCUGGCCCAAUACUGACACUCAGGUGCGACAGCGUGGGGAGCAAACAGG
Molecule: ribosomal RNA, 253 nt
Filed under: uncultured bacterium
Lineage: Bacteria
Description: partial 16S ribosomal RNA
Rfam family: Bacterial small subunit ribosomal RNA
Source: RNAcentral